Molecule: non-coding RNA, 1482 nt
Organism: Vicugna pacos (alpaca)
Lineage: Eukaryota; Metazoa; Chordata; Mammalia; Artiodactyla; Camelidae
Source: RefSeq, a predicted model, not a curated record
AAAGCAGGGAGAACGCUGGCCGUGGAGGCUGCUGAAUGGCGGCCAAAUCCACGGCCAAAGCGCUAACAGAGCAGAGCAUUCAUCACAUGAGCUCAUUCCUGUUCUCUUAUUCAGCAGGCUGCAUUCUGCAUCUUUUCCUCUGAGACUCACCAUUUGCUCUGACUUUGCAGCUAAUGCAACAAAUAGGUAAAGAGAGAUCGCGGCUCGCUGUCUGGAUGUAAACUCUGGCUACAUUUCUCCAAGCCAGAGACAUGGAGAGAACCUAGACUUUCCCAUUCUAACUUGCCAUGGAGUUUGGGAGAAUCCAGCCCAUUUACGGUACGGCUUCCAUCAGAGGAGAAAUGAAGGUGCAGCAAACAGAGGGGUCUCAUUCACGUUGUCACAUCUGGGAUCCCCAGCAUUCCAACACUGAGGGUUUCAAACCAUCUUGGUAAAAUCUAAGGGCCUGUUUUGGGAAUUUCCUUUCUCUGGAGAUGGGAGGGAGUUACCUUCUUUACAUAUCCCACUCUUGAGACACAGAAUCCUUGGUUUUCCUUUGGGAAUUACCACCAUUCACGGGAGAGGGGAGGCCUGCACACUGAAUGAUUUAAGCAUAUGCCUUACCUCCUGGUUACAGGGAUUGAUUCAGGGAUGAACACAUAAUUCAUUCAGACUAAGGAGGCACGGUAAGGAGCCGGGGCUUUUGAGAAAGAAAAGUUUUUCUUCUUUCAUAGAAUUAGUAGUGUGAUGGUUGAUGUGAAGGCUGGAGCUGCAACCUUCUUGCAACUAGAAGAGGCCAAAGCUGCCAGGAGCUAUGAGGAACCUAAGAGUGCAACCAACUAAGAAGAACCUACGAGUCAAGCUACCCAAAGGAAGAGUGUAUCACCAGUCCUUCCCAAAGGCUCAGUGCUGCAGAUGGUUUCAUAAAAAGGAGCGUACGGUCAACUACAUUUUGGGAAAUGUUCCAGGUGGUAGCCUCCUUUUGGACAGUGACAGUUAACAUGAGGGUAGUAAGGGCUCUGGGAAUUCUUGCAGGAAUGAAAACUCUUCAGUUUUAUUUAACUCAACAUUUCCCAAACUGAUUUGACCGAAGAAACCACUCCCUCCUCUUUUACUCCGCCUACAAGUGCUCAGCAUCCCAAGGACCUAGAGCUCUGAGGGACAUGCACUGCGAAAUGCUACUUUAUACGCUUUGCUUUCAUCUCUCACCUCCCAUUUAUCCACUUAGAAAUCAUUAUAAAAUAUUUUUAAAUACCAGAAAUAUACAGAACACUUGUAGCUACACUAGUUUUGCCAAAUUUUACUGAAAAAGAUCUCAAUCAAAUAGGGCAGAAGACUUGCAGUUUUCAAAUUCUCCAUUUCUCACCUUGGCACACGUCCCUUCUGUCUCGAGUGCCCCUUCUCGCCUUUCUCCACCAUUCUUCGCUUGACAAAAUCCUAUUCCACCUUCAAGACUCAGAUAUUAAUACCGCCAAGAAGCCUUUCCAGACCCUGCCGCCUAUU